This 1046-nucleotide ribosomal RNA is filed under the name Neisseria sp. RNAcentral's name for it is "bacterial SSU rRNA". It matches the Rfam family "Bacterial small subunit ribosomal RNA", at positions 430 to 1470 of the family's 1533-position model. The record is from RNAcentral. Lineage: Bacteria; Pseudomonadati; Pseudomonadota; Betaproteobacteria; Neisseriales; Neisseriaceae.
GGACUUUUGUCAGGGAAGAAAAGGAUAGGGUUAAUACCCCUGUCUGAUGACGGUACCUGAAGAAUAAGCACCGGCUAACUACGUGCCAGCAGCCGCGGUAAUACGUAGGGUGCGAGCGUUAAUCGGAAUUACUGGGCGUAAAGCGGGCGCAGACGGUUACUUAAGCAGGAUGUGAAAUCCCCGGGCUCAACCUGGGAACUGCGUUCUGAACUGGGUGACUAGAGUGUGUCAGAGGGAGGUAGAAUUCCACGUGUAGCAGUGAAAUGCGUAGAGAUGUGGAGGAAUACCGAUGGCGAAGGCAGCCUCCUGGGAUAACACUGACGUUCAUGCCCGAAAGCGUGGGUAGCAAACAGGAUUAGAUACCCUGGUAGUCCACGCCCUAAACGAUGUCGAUUAGCUGUUGGGCAGCAUGACUGCUUAGUAGCGAAGCUAACGCGUGAAAUCGACCGCCUGGGGAGUACGGUCGCAAGAUUAAAACUCAAAGGAAUUGACGGGGACCCGCACAAGCGGUGGAUGAUGUGGAUUAAUUCGAUGCAACGCGAAGAACCUUACCUGGUCUUGACAUGUACGGAACCCUCCAGAGACGGAGGGGUGCCUUCGGGAGCCGUAACACAGGUGCUGCAUGGCUGUCGUCAGCUCGUGUCGUGAGAUGUUGGGUUAAGUCCCGCAACGAGCGCAACCCUUGUCAUUAGUUGCCAUCAUUAAGUUGGGCACUCUAAUGAGACUGCCGGUGACAAGCCGGAGGAAGGUGGGGAUGACGUCAAGUCCUCAUGGCCCUUAUGACCAGGGCUUCACACGUCAUACAAUGGUCGGUACAGAGGGUAGCCAAGCCGCGAGGUGGAGCCAAUCUCACAAAACCGAUCGUAGUCCGGAUUGCACUCUGCAACUCGAGUGCAUGAAGUCGGAAUCGCUAGUAAUCGCAGGUCAGCAUACUGCGGUGAAUACGUUCCCGGGUCUUGUACACACCGCCCGUCACACCAUGGGAGUGGGGGAUACCAGAAGUAGGUAGGGUAACCGCAAGGAGCCCGCUUACCACGGUAGCUACA